This is a non-coding RNA of Triticum urartu, 71 nucleotides long. Lineage: Eukaryota; Viridiplantae; Streptophyta; Magnoliopsida; Poales; Poaceae. The record is from Rfam.
GUCCACUGCUCAGUUGGUAAAGCACAAGGCUCUUAACUUUGUGGUCUUGGGUUCGAGCCCCACGGUGGACG